UACUGCUAUAUAAGGCGCGCGUGAAGGCGGACACGGUCUCUUUGGCUCGGCACACUGCGACGUGGAGAACUUGGCUCUCUCAUGGCCGACGACUCCAUCCUCGUGCAUCGCCGUGCAAGGCGCAUCAUCGGCCUGAGAAGAGGCAGGGCGACUUGAUUGAAGAUUUAAGAUGUACGGGUUUUUACCAAGACGCCCUCCGAGGUACAAAAGGAGGAUGCUUCAAUUUGAAGUUUGAAGAUGUGAAGAACAUCCUGCAUUUGUAGCCCUAGUGGUGGCUUCAACGACCACAGGUCCUGGUGCUUGCUGGAUAGCAUUUGCGUAGAGUUCAUAAGCUCAAGGUAUGGAAGACUGAAGCAAACUCCACUUGAAUGUGCUGCUGUUUCAACUUUACAACUGUUCAUGAAAUUGCACGUGGCUGGUUUCAAUAAUUUUUUUUGUCUUCGAACAAAUAAAACUGAUUUUUAUA
This is a long non-coding RNA of Petromyzon marinus (sea lamprey), 466 nucleotides long. RefSeq lists it as uncharacterized. The record is from RefSeq and is a predicted model, not a curated record. NCBI's taxonomy places the organism in Eukaryota, Metazoa, Chordata, Hyperoartia, Petromyzontiformes, Petromyzontidae.